RNAcentral lists this ribosomal RNA (465 nucleotides) under uncultured Klebsiella sp. Its description in RNAcentral is "bacterial SSU rRNA". It matches the Rfam family "Bacterial small subunit ribosomal RNA", at positions 338 to 795 of the family's 1533-position model. The record is from RNAcentral. Lineage: Bacteria; Pseudomonadati; Pseudomonadota; Gammaproteobacteria; Enterobacterales; Enterobacteriaceae.
CCUACGGGUGGCUGCAGUGGGGAAUAUUGCACAAUGGGCGCAAGCCUGAUGCAGCCAUGCCGCGUGUGUGAAGAAGGCCUUCGGGUUGUAAAGCACUUUCAGCGGGGAGGAAGGCGGUGAGGUUAAUAACCUCAUCGAUUGACGUUACCCGCAGAAGAAGCACCCGCUAACUCCGUGCCAGCAGCCGCGGUAAUUCGGAGGGUGCAAGCGUUAAUCGGAAUUACUGGGCGUAAAGCGCACGCAGGCGGUCUGUCAAGUCGGAUGUGAAAUCCCCGGGCUCAACCUGGGAACUGCAUUCGAAACUGGCAGGCUAGAGUCUUGUAGAGGGGGGUAGAAUUCCAGGUGUAGCGGUGAAAUGCGUAGAGAUCUGGAGGAAUACCGGUGGCGAAGGCGGCCCCCUGGACAAAGACUGACGCUCAGGUGCGAAAGCGUGGGGAGCAAACAGGAUUAGAUACCCUUGUAGUC